RNAcentral lists this ribosomal RNA (505 nucleotides) under uncultured bacterium. Its description in RNAcentral is "partial 16S ribosomal RNA". It matches the Rfam family "Bacterial small subunit ribosomal RNA", at positions 28 to 507 of the family's 1533-position model. The record is from RNAcentral.
GACGAACGCUGGCGGCGUGCCUAAUACAUGCAAGUAGAACGCACAGUUUAUACCGUAGCUUGCUACACCAUAGACUGUGAGUUGCGAACGGGUGAGUAACGCGUAGGUAACCUGCCUGGUAGCGGGGGAUAACUAUUGGAAACGAUAGCUAAUACCGCAUAAUAUUGAUUAUUGCAUGAUAAUUGAUUGAAAGAUGCUAUUGCAUCACUACCAGAUGGACCUGCGUUGUAUUAGCUAGUAGGUGAGGUAACGGCUCACCUAGGCGACGAUACAUAGCCGACCUGAGAGGGUGAUCGGCCACACUGGGACUGAGACACGGCCCAGACUCCUACGGGAGGCAGCAGUAGGGAAUCUUAGGCAAUGGACGAAAGUCUGACCGAGCAACGCCGCGUGAGUGAAGAAGGUUUUCGGAUCGUAAAGCUCUGUUGUAAGAGAAGAACGGGUGUGAGAGUGGAAAGUUCACACUGUGACGGUAGCUUACCAGAAAGGGACGGCUAACUACGUG